GUCUACGGCCAUGCUGGAUCAAGCUGGAUUCCGUUUGAUCUUGAAAGCUAAGCCUGGUUAGUACUUGGAUGGGAGACCACUUAGGAAGAUCAGAUGCUGUAGGCG
RNAcentral lists this ribosomal RNA (105 nucleotides) under Pteropus alecto (black flying fox). The record is from RNAcentral. Lineage: Eukaryota; Metazoa; Chordata; Mammalia; Chiroptera; Pteropodidae.